RNAcentral lists this ribosomal RNA (253 nucleotides) under uncultured bacterium. Its description in RNAcentral is "partial 16S ribosomal RNA". It matches the Rfam family "Bacterial small subunit ribosomal RNA", at positions 524 to 776 of the family's 1533-position model. The record is from RNAcentral.
UACGAAGGGGGCUAGCGUUGUUCGGAAUCACUGGGCGUAAAGGGCGCGUAGGCGGCCGAUCAAGUCGGGGGUGAAAGCCUGUGGCUCAACCACAGAAUUGCCUUCGAUACUGUUUGGCUUGAGACCGGAAGAGGUUAGUGGAACUGCGAGUGUAGAGGUGAAAUUCGUAGAUAUUCGCAAGAACACCAGUAGCGAAGGCGGCACUCUGGGCCGGUACUGACGCUGAGGAGCGAAAGCGUGGGGAGCGAACGGG